This 569-nucleotide long non-coding RNA is filed under the name Amphibalanus amphitrite. RNAcentral describes it as "uncharacterized LOC122364128". The record is from RNAcentral. Lineage: Eukaryota; Metazoa; Arthropoda; Thecostraca; Balanomorpha; Balanidae.
UGUACUGUAUUAUUCGGGGACAAGCGUGCAUUUGUGCGCAGUGGUGAUCUUUUAGACUGUACCGACUGGAAUUUAGCGACCACUGACCGUUUUAGAGACCGUACGGUCGGCGGCGGGCGUCCCCUCCCAGUCCCGAUCCUCGCCUGAGGCGAAGGCCGGAGACGCCGCAGAGGGGAGCGCGCGUCGCGCGCACCCCCCUCCGCCGCAUUCCAUCCGUCCCAUUCACUGCCCGCUCGCGAUGUGCGGACGGCUGACGGGGGUGUCGAGUGUGUGCCGUGCGGUGUUGGUGUCGUCUGCCGUCUCCUCUUCCGACCUGAAGCAUUCGAGAAUCUCGGCUCACCAAUAAUAUGCGAUGCAAGGCUCGACGGACGACAUCCUCGCUCAAGAUGUGUACGAGUAUAGCUGGAUGCAGACGGAAAGGCGGCCUCGACAAUGGUGACAUGACGUGACAUCAACGGUGUGAUGGUGUGAUGUGACUGUGACGUGUGGAUGACUCGAAAAGUAAAGGGCUGUUGAUAUGUGUUCUCAGCUAUACAUUUUUUAUGAAUACAUAUUGAUUUUGACGUUUA